Molecule: unclassified non-coding RNA, 261 nt
Filed under: Athalia rosae (coleseed sawfly)
Lineage: Eukaryota; Metazoa; Arthropoda; Insecta; Hymenoptera; Athaliidae
Description: misc RNA ENSAEAG00005011733.1
Source: RNAcentral
CGGUUUUCGAGUUGUUACGAUAAACUGAAUCCAAAGAUAGAAUAGGUUCCAUGGAAUCAAAUAAAUGGAUGCCUGAUGACAGGAAGCUCCGUAUUGUGUUUUUCAACUUUUCACUUAACUCUGGGGAUCAGCUUGCACCAACAACACUUUGAUAACCCGGUGGCGGAGUUGACUGCGUCGAAGUCCUCUGGGAAAAUCUUCUGAACCAACCACUGGAAUUACUAUUCCUGGAUGUGUCAGAUAAUCUUGAGGUGGCCUGUG